AUUUGACGUUAGCGACAGAAGAAGCACCGGCUAACUCCGUGCCAGCAGCCGCGGUAAUACGGAGGGUGCGAGCGUUAAUCGGAAUUACUGGGCGUAAAGCGCAUGCAGGUGGUUUGUUAAGUCAGAUGUGAAAGCCCGGGGCUCAACCUCGGAAUUGCAUUUGAAACUGGCAGACUAGAGUACUGUAGAGGGGGGUAGAAUUUCAGGUGUAGCGGUGAAAUGCGUAGAGAUCUGAAGGAAUACCGGUGGCGAA
RNAcentral lists this ribosomal RNA (253 nucleotides) under Vibrio parahaemolyticus. Its description in RNAcentral is "partial 16S ribosomal RNA". It matches the Rfam family "Bacterial small subunit ribosomal RNA", at positions 467 to 719 of the family's 1533-position model. The record is from RNAcentral. Lineage: Bacteria; Pseudomonadati; Pseudomonadota; Gammaproteobacteria; Vibrionales; Vibrionaceae.